UCAUCUGCAAUUUCAAUUAAUUACCUGUAAGAAAUAUUACUUUUGCAAACAGGGCUGCUUAAUUCACUUUGGAGUAAGUGUCAAUAUUAUUUAAGAUUGCUGAAGUCGAGUGAGUGUCAUUUAUUACUGACAGGCUUGAACAAUUUGCGCUGCUUGUCCUAAUAUGGUUGGGUGGGUUAUGUGUAUUCUUAAAAGGAAGUAGUGUCAACCUUUUGAUUUCUUAAUUUCUUAAGAAUAUCAAAGUAAAUUGAAACACUCAGCAAACACUCACUGCCAACAAUGAUAUCAACUAAAGCUUUAAACCACAAGCUGCCUGUUGCGCUGCACCUGCCACACAAUGGUGCCCGUAUGCGUGUUACUAACUGCUGCAUAAUUCAUACAUUUUGAUGAUGGAUAUUGUUUUUGAACCCUGUUCAAGGGAAUUAUACAUGCCAAACAACUAACACAUUGAUCAAAAGGUUAUUUAUUCAACCAUAUGAUAAGAUAAACUACUUUCCACAGACAAUACAUAAUAAAAUAGAGUUCCAUUAUGACCAACUCAAGGUAGUAUACAUUACUUUUUCUAUUUGUGUCUCAGUCAUGAUGAAUUAGGGAAGCACUAAACAAAAAUAUUUGAGUGAUGACUUACUCUCCCGUGUUAGGAGUUUUGAUAUAAACACCAAGGGCUCU
Haliotis rubra (blacklip abalone) is the source of this 669-nucleotide long non-coding RNA. RefSeq lists it as uncharacterized. The transcript has 4 exons. The record is from RefSeq and is a predicted model, not a curated record. Lineage: Eukaryota; Metazoa; Mollusca; Gastropoda; Lepetellida; Haliotidae.